GGACUUACUUGACAGGAGCGAUAACCAUGGUCAAAAAGGUGAUUUUUCCAGAAUAAUGCUUGUCCAUUGCACUUCAGGUGUGAGGGCCUCUUCUAUUUUGUCACAUGAAGGAAAUUGAAUAAUUUGUGGUAGUGGGGGAUUUCAUUACUGCUUUCCUUUA
Mesocricetus auratus (golden hamster) is the source of this 160-nucleotide small nuclear RNA. Its record names the gene U1. It matches the Rfam family "U1 spliceosomal RNA". From Rfam's summary of the family: U1 is a small nuclear RNA (snRNA) component of the spliceosome (involved in pre-mRNA splicing). Its 5' end forms complementary base pairs with the 5' splice junction, thus defining the 5' donor site of an intron. There are significant differences in sequence and secondary structure between metazoan and yeast U1 snRNAs, the latter being much longer (568 nucleotides as compared to 164 nucleotides in human). The record is from Ensembl. Lineage: Eukaryota; Metazoa; Chordata; Mammalia; Rodentia; Cricetidae.